AUACUUUUACUUGCCAGGGGAGAUGCCAUGAUCACGAAGGUAGUUUCCCCAGAGCGAGGCUCACCCGUUGCACUCUGGGUGUGCUGACCCCUGAAACUUCCCCAAAUGUGGGAAACUCGAUUGCAUAAUUUGUGGUAGUUGAAGACUGUGUUGGCGCUCUCCCCUG
Suncus etruscus (white-toothed pygmy shrew) is the source of this 166-nucleotide small nuclear RNA. RefSeq annotates it as U1 spliceosomal RNA. NCBI's taxonomy places the organism in Eukaryota, Metazoa, Chordata, Mammalia, Eulipotyphla, Soricidae. The transcript has a single exon. The record is from RefSeq and is a predicted model, not a curated record.